CCUACGGGAGGCAGCAGUGGGGAAUAUUGCACAAUGGGGGAAACCCUGAUGCAGCGACGCCGCGUGAGUGAAGAAGUAUUUCGGUACGUAAAGCUCUAUCAGCAGGGAAGAAAAUGACGGUACCUGACUAAGAAGCCCCGGCUAACUACGUGCCAGCAGCCGCGGUAAUACGUAGGGGGCAAGCGUUAUCCGGAUUUACUGGGUGUAAAGGGAGCGUAGACGGCAGCGCAAGGCUGGAGUGAAAUCCCAUGGCUUAACCAUGGAACUGCUUUGGAAACUGUGCAGCUAGAGUGCAGGAGAGGUAAGCGGAAUUCCUAGUGUAGCGGUGAAAUGCGUAGAUAUUAGGAGGAACACCAGUGGCGAAGGCGGCUUACUGGACUGUAACUGACGUUGAGGCUCGAAAGCGUGGGGAGCAAACAGGAUUAGAUACCCGAGUAGUC
This 440-nucleotide ribosomal RNA is filed under the name uncultured bacterium. Its description in RNAcentral is "partial 16S ribosomal RNA". It matches the Rfam family "Bacterial small subunit ribosomal RNA", at positions 338 to 795 of the family's 1533-position model. The record is from RNAcentral.